This is a long non-coding RNA of Leopardus geoffroyi (Geoffroy's cat), 1202 nucleotides long. RefSeq lists it as uncharacterized. The transcript is spliced from 2 exons. The record is from RefSeq and is a predicted model, not a curated record. Lineage: Eukaryota; Metazoa; Chordata; Mammalia; Carnivora; Felidae.
AAUAGUAUUGCUGUGAACAUGGAUGUGGGGAUAUGCGUUCAGGUCCCUGCUUUCCAUCCUUUGUGCAUACAGCCAGAAGAGGCAUUGCCGGGUCAGACAGUAAUGCUUUUGUAACUUUUUGAGGAAUUGACAUACUGUUCUCCAUAGUGGCUGUUCCAAACCCUAGGACUCCGAGGAAGCCAGUCUGGCGACAGUUUUCUUAGUGCUUCUCCUUUCUGCCUUGGCCUCCCAACACUCCUCGUCUUAGCCCCCUCCCCCGCGCCCCUGCUUUCCUCCACCCUGUGGAGAGGGCCACACAGGAGAAGCAAAAUGGUCUUACAGCCGUGGUGCCACAUUGAAGGCAAGACACUUUUGUGAUUACUGUCUUCCUGCAGGAGGGGGCUAAGACCCUGUGGUUCUUUCUGUGAGUUGUAGGAAAACGGUCGUGGCGUUGGCGUCCUAGCCCUGACUCCACAGACUACUAAGAGCAUCCCUGAGAAAAGUCAGUAGCUCAGUUUCCCUCUCCAUAAAAUGCCAUUUCUUUCUGGCUCUCCGAACUGGGCUCCCGCUGAUGACUCUAGCUCUAAGCAUGCUUAGACAAGAACAAAAUGCUGUACAAACUCUUCCCGUUUUGUUAAAACGCUAUCCGGAGCAAGGAGUUCCAUCUCACCGUUGCGCUAACGCUCUUGACCACAGAUUGCAUCCGGUAGGGGGCAGGCAGGUCAUAACGCACCCAAUGCUCCGUCCCCCUCCACCACCACCGGGGACCGGGGAUCCAGGGUGCCACCAACACCCCUUCUCUCCCUUUUGCAGGAAGGUUGCCUCUGUCUGCGGCGCCUCAUCAGAUUUUUAUGCUUCAAGGAUUAAGCCUCCGAGGUGACACUUGCAAUGUAGCUGAAUCAGAAAAACAACAGCAACGCCACCGACAGCAGCCAACAAGGGAACUGGGAACUGAAAGGAAAAUUGUCUUCUUUGUAUCCAAUGCCGAGCAGGUUUCUUUCAUACUCCAUAUUUACUCGGAUCGAUCUUCAGAAUGCGCAACCGCCUGAACCGUGAGCCCCUCCAAGGCUGGGUGUAAACCCGACGACCUGCCCUAAUUCAUGACCUCGGAUCCACACACUGCCAGAGACACACGGAGCAGUGUGGCGGCCGCCCCCGUCCCCCGGCCUUCUGCGGCAUUGUUACGACUUGAUGCCUUGGCAAUAAAUGACGUGCCCGCUCAA